RNAcentral lists this long non-coding RNA (406 nucleotides) under Crocodylus porosus (Australian saltwater crocodile). Its description in RNAcentral is "lncRNA (ENSCPRG00005000839.1)". Lineage: Eukaryota; Metazoa; Chordata; Crocodylia; Crocodylidae. The record is from RNAcentral.
CACAUUUUUUUUUUCUCUUACAUCAAUGGGAAAAGAAUUUAGCUCACGGAAGGUACAAAGGCGUAUUUAAUAGAGAAAGGACAAAAAUGACAAAUAUCACUCUGGAAGAGAUGGAUUUUCUCUGAUUUGGGUGAAGUUGUAAAUCAUGUUACAGGCCACAGAAGACAACUUUUAAUGGGAAACCAAGGAAUACCUGUCAGAAAGGGAGGGAUGAAGAGGAGGGGACGACAGUAUGAUGAAAAACCUAUUGAGAGAGAUGCAUUGUCUAUAGCAAGGGUCGGCAACCUUUUAGAAACAGGACCAAAUUAAUGGCAGCUUGUUCCAAAGGUAGGUUGCUGUUUGUGACCUAGCACCAGUUUCUCAGCUGCUACCAUUGAAUUUCUGCCAAUUUCUCUUGCUGCCAAAU